RNAcentral lists this ribosomal RNA (468 nucleotides) under uncultured bacterium. RNAcentral's name for it is "partial 16S ribosomal RNA". It matches the Rfam family "Bacterial small subunit ribosomal RNA", at positions 35 to 507 of the family's 1533-position model. The record is from RNAcentral.
GGGGGGGGGGGGGGGGGGGCGGGGGGGGGGCGGGGCGGGCGGGGGGGCCCUGCUUGGGUGGGGUGCUCGAGUGGCGAACGGGUGAGUCACACGUGCGUACCCUGCCCUUGGCUUUGGGGUGACUUCCGGCGACUGGGGCUAAUACCGGAUCGGAGCUCCUGCUGCAUGGUGGGUGUUGGACAGUUUCGGCGGUUGGGGAUGGACUCGCGGCUUAUCAGCUUUUUGGUGGGGUAGGGGCUUACCAAGGCUUUGACGGGUAGCCGGCCUGAGAGGGUUACCGGCCACAUUGGGACUGAGAUACGGCCCAGACUCCGACGGGAGGGAGCAGUGGGGAAUAUUGCACAAUGGGCGGAAGCCUGAUGCAGCAACGCCGCGUGCGGGAUGACGGCCUUCGGGUUGUAAACCGCUUGCGCCUGUGACGAAGCGUGAGUGACGGUAAUGGGUAAAGAAGCACCGGCUAACUACGUG